This 578-nucleotide ribosomal RNA is filed under the name Kutzneria sp. RDB-177. RNAcentral describes it as "bacterial SSU rRNA". It matches the Rfam family "Bacterial small subunit ribosomal RNA", at positions 102 to 694 of the family's 1533-position model. The record is from RNAcentral. Lineage: Bacteria; Bacillati; Actinomycetota; Actinomycetes; Pseudonocardiales; Pseudonocardiaceae.
ACGGGUGAGUAACACGUGGGCAACCUGCCCUGCACUCUGGGAUAAGCCCGGGAAACUGGGUCUAAUACCGGAUAUGACCUUCUGCCGCAUGGUGGAGGGUGGAAAGUUCCGGCGGUGCAGGAUGGGCCCGCGGCCUAUCAGCUUGUUGGUGGGGUAGUGGCCUACCAAGGCGACGACGGGUAGCCGGCCUGAGAGGGCGACCGGCCACACUGGGACUGAGACACGGCCCAGACUCCUACGGGAGGCAGCAGUGGGGAAUAUUGCGCAAUGGGCGAAAGCCUGACGCAGCGACGCCGCGUGAGGGAUGACGGCCUUCGGGUUGUAAACCUCUUUCAGCAGGGACGAAGCGCAAGUGACGGUACCUGCAGAAGAAGCACCGGCUAACUACGUGCCAGCAGCCGCGGUAAUACGUAGGGUGCGAGCGUUGUCCGGAAUUAUUGGGCGUAAAGAGCUCGUAGGCGGUUUGUCGCGUCGACUGUGAAAACCUACAGCUUAACUGUGGGCUUGCAGUCGAUACGGGCAGACUUGAGUUCGGUAGGGGAGACUGGAAUUCCUGGUGUAGCGGUGAAAUGCGCAGA